AGGAAUAUUGGUCAAUGGCCGGAAGGCUGAACCAGCCAUGCCGCGUGAAGGUCAGUGCCCUAUGGGCGUUAAACUUCUUUUGUGCGGGAGCAAUAAGGUCCACGUGUGGGCCGACGAGAGUACCGUACGAAUAAGCAUCGGCUAACUCCGUGCCAGCAGCCGCGGUAAUACGGGGGAUGCAAGCGUUAUCCGGAUUUAUUGGGUUUAAAGGGUGCGUAGGCUGUGAGGUAAGUCAGCGGUAAAAUGUCCGGGCUCAACCCGGGCCGGCCGUUGAAACUGGGGGUCUUGAGUGGGCGAGAAGUAUGCGGAAUGCGUGGUGUAGCGGUGAAAUGCAUAGAUAUCACGCAGAACUCCGAUUGCGAAGGCAGCAUACCGGCGCCCUACUGACGCUGAGGCACGAAAGCGUGGGGAUCGAACAG
This 419-nucleotide ribosomal RNA is filed under the name uncultured bacterium. Its description in RNAcentral is "bacterial SSU rRNA". It matches the Rfam family "Bacterial small subunit ribosomal RNA", at positions 357 to 775 of the family's 1533-position model. The record is from RNAcentral.